UACGUAGGGGGCAAGCGUUGUCCGGAUUUAUUGGGCGUAAAGAGCGUGUAGGCGGCCAAGUAAGUCUGCUGUGAAAACUCGAGGCUUAACCUCGAGCUGUCGGCGGAAACUAUUUGGCUAGAGUCCGGAAGAGGAGAAUGGAAUUCCCGGUGUAGCGGUGAAAUGCGCAGAUAUCGGGAAGAACACCCGUGGCGAAGGCGGUUCUCUGGGACGGUACUGACGCUGAGACGCGAAAGCCAGGGGAGCAAACGGG
Molecule: ribosomal RNA, 253 nt
Filed under: uncultured bacterium
Lineage: Bacteria
Description: partial 16S ribosomal RNA
Rfam family: Bacterial small subunit ribosomal RNA
Source: RNAcentral